UGGGGAAUAUUGCACAAUGGGGGAAACCCUGAUGCAGCGACGCCGCGUGAACGAAGAAGGUAUUCGUAUCGUAAAGUUCUGUCCUAUGGGAAGAUAAUGACAGUACCAUAGAAGAAAGCUCCGGCUAAAUACGUGCCAGCAGCCGCGGUAAUACGUAUGGAGCGAGCGUUGUCCGGAAUUAUUGUGCGUAAAGGGUACGCAGGCGGUUUAAUAAGUCGAAUGUUAAAGAUCGGGGCUCAACCCCGCAAAGCAUUGGAAACUGAUAAACUUGAGUAGUGGAGAGGAAAGUGGAAUUCCUAGUGUAGUGGUGAAAUACGUAGAUAUUAGGAGGAAUACCAGUAGCGAAGGCGACUUUCUGGACACAAACUGACGCUGAGGUACGAAAGAGUGGGGAGCAAACAGG
RNAcentral lists this ribosomal RNA (403 nucleotides) under bacterium. RNAcentral's name for it is "partial 16S ribosomal RNA". It matches the Rfam family "Bacterial small subunit ribosomal RNA", at positions 355 to 776 of the family's 1533-position model. The record is from RNAcentral.